RNAcentral lists this ribosomal RNA (253 nucleotides) under uncultured bacterium. RNAcentral's name for it is "partial 16S ribosomal RNA". It matches the Rfam family "Bacterial small subunit ribosomal RNA", at positions 524 to 776 of the family's 1533-position model. The record is from RNAcentral.
UACGUAGGGUGCGAGCGUUAAUCGGAAUUACUGGGCGUAAAGUGUGCGCAGGCGGCUUCGCAAGUCGAGUGUGAAAUCCCCGAGCUUAACUUGGGAAUUGCGCUCGAAACUACGGAGCUGGAGUGUGGCAGAGGAAGGUGGAAUUCCACGUGUAGCGGUGAAAUGCGUAGAGAUCCGGAGGAACACCAGUGGCGAAGGCGGCUCGCUGGGCUCUACCUGACGCUGAGGCGCGAAAGCGUGGGGAGCGAACCGG